RNAcentral lists this long non-coding RNA (738 nucleotides) under Homo sapiens (human). Its description in RNAcentral is "HSALNT0205066". The record is from RNAcentral. Lineage: Eukaryota; Metazoa; Chordata; Mammalia; Primates; Hominidae.
GAUGAUAUUCUUGUUCCAGACUCCUGUUCCUGCUGAUGUUUGUCAUAGUGCUUAUUUCAAUUGGAAUGUGGAGAAACAUCAAUGUCCUGCUACAUUACUGCCAAGGCAAGGGUGAAAAAUGGGCAGAAGAUUCUUGUCCCCUUCCUCUCUUCUUGUAUCAGCAGGAAGUAUGGACAUGUUCAAAGAAUGACGGUAGCAUAUCAAAUGAACAAAGAGGACUUUAGAAGGGACUUCUGCUGAGAAAUUUGGGAACAAUUUGAGCAUCAAUCUUAAGAAAGCUCCUACAAUUACCACAUACUAUGGGAGGAACCCAGUGGGAAAUGAUUGAAUUACGAGGGCAGGUCUUUCCUGCACUGCUCUUAUGAUACUGAAUGAGACUCACAAGAUCUGAUGGUUGUAAAAACGGAAGUUUUCCUGCCCAAUCUCACUCUUCGCCUACUGCCAUCCAUGUAAGAUACGAUUUGCUCCUCCUUGUCUUCUCCCAUGGUUGUGAGGCUUCCCCAGCCACGUGGAACUGUAAGUCCAAUUAAACCUCUUUCAUUUGUAAAUUGCCCAGUCCUGGGUACGUCUUUAUCAGGAGCAUGAAAAUGGACUAACACAACAAAAUAUUAUUUUAUAUGUAUAUCUGUUCUACUUUGUUUAAUAAAUUAUAAAUUCAACUAGUUUAAACGCAAAACUGUUUAUUGAAAACAAUUCAUGAUGGGUAUUUGUGCUUAACUGGCAUAUGGACACUUGGAG